AUUGAACGCUGGCGGCAUGCCUUACACAUGCAAGUCGAACGGUAACAGGUCUUCGGAUGCUGACAAGUGGCGAACGGGUGAGUAAUACAUCGGAACGUGCCUAGUAGUGGGGGAUAACUACUCGAAAGAGUGGCUAAUACCGCAUGAGAUCUACGGAUGAAAGCAGGGGAUCGCAAGACCUUGUGCUACUAGAGCGGCCGAUGGCAGAUGAGGUAGUUGGUGGGAUAAAAGCUUACCAAGCCGACGACCUGUAGCUGGUCUGAGAGGACGAUCAGCCACACUGGGACUGAGACACGGCCCAGACUCCUACGGGAGGCAGCAGUGGGGAAUUUUGGACAAUGGGCGAAAGCCUGAUCCAGCAAUGCCGCGUGCAGGAUGAAGGCCUUCGGGUUGUAAACUGCUUUUGUACGGAACGAAAAGCCCCGGGUUAAUACCCUGGGGUCAUGACGGUACCGUAAGAAUAAGCACCGGCUAACUACGUGCCAGCCGCCGCAGUAA
Molecule: ribosomal RNA, 498 nt
Filed under: uncultured bacterium
Lineage: Bacteria
Description: partial 16S ribosomal RNA
Rfam family: Bacterial small subunit ribosomal RNA
Source: RNAcentral